This is a long non-coding RNA of Lycium ferocissimum, 1062 nucleotides long. RefSeq lists it as uncharacterized. Lineage: Eukaryota; Viridiplantae; Streptophyta; Magnoliopsida; Solanales; Solanaceae. The transcript has 2 exons. The record is from RefSeq and is a predicted model, not a curated record.
CCGUUCGAAAAAACUUCCUUUUAUGUGAUUUUAGAUCUACUUCAUCCCCAUUUAGCACCUUCACUCAUCACGGUACUACACCUACAUACCCGUGCAUCUUAAGGUCGAUGUAGGACAUGAUCAGACCAUCUCAAGUGACUUUCUCACAUUUUUCCUCAAUAUCUACUUCUUGCACCUUCUUGCGAAUAUGAUCAUUUUUCAUCCUAUCUAAUAUUGUUCUCAUCUUAGUAUUCGCAUCUCUAGGACACUAAUCCUUUGAAUAUGUUGCACUUAAGCGGCCCGAUUAUUCUGCAGAACUUACUUUUCACUUUGGUAAGCAUUCUUUUAUCACACAACAUCCCAGUUGUGAAAAAAUCACCUAGUGUCACUGUUGUUGGGAUUCAUACUACUGUCACUACAAUUCUUAGAACACUGGACUACCCCCUUGCAGCAUAGGGGCUAAUAUACCUCCUUGCUAAGAAUGUGAGAGCAAGUGGAUAUGACAAAAACCCCAUAAUUUGUGCCCCAUUGGUAAGUUAGAUAGCCAAAGGAACCUAAGUGAUUGGAUUUCAUGGAAAAAACAGGCCAGUCAUCUACAAGUGUUCCAUGCCAUCUGAUUCUCGACUUUAGUAAAUAGAUAUCCUGUUCAGAUCCAAGGGGCAACUUGCAUUCCAUCUUUUCUUUAUUGUAUCUCAUUAUCUACUUUUGGGUUAUCUAGAUCCACCAACUGCACUGUCUAAGAAAAUCAUAUCAGCAUGAUUUAGAAGCAAAAUCAAACCACUUUAUGCAGUAGAGCAGAUGAUGAGAAUAGAAUCUUUCAACAGACAUAUCAGAAAGAUAAAAUAGUAAUAGCUCAGAUGGAAAUAUCAGAAAUAACCCAGACCUCUUAAAGAAAUUCGAAGGGAAGCCCAAAAAUGGAAUUAGUCGUGUAUCAUAUUCAAAUUUUUAAAAAUGAUCCCCUAGCUGAGAAGCACAUUAUGGCUUUGUAGAAGUUUAGUGAAAGAGAAUAGAGCUGUAAACUUUCAAAGCAAUAUUUUCAUAACCAAAAGUCAGAUUACAUUAGUGUUACCUCACAUACUCUAA